GACGUAGGGCGCGAGCGUUGUCCGGAUUUAUUGGGCGUAAAGAGCUCGUAGGCGGCUUGUUGCGUCGGCUGUGAAAACCCAUGGCUCAACCGUGGGCUUGCAGCCGAUACGGGCAGACUAGAGUGCGGUAGGGGAGACUGGAAUUCCUGGUGUAGCGGUGAAAUGCGCAGAUAUCAGGAGGAACACCGGUGGCGAAGGCGGGUCUCUGGGCCGUAACUGACGCUGAGGAGCGAAAGCAUGGGGAGCGAACAGG
Molecule: ribosomal RNA, 253 nt
Filed under: uncultured bacterium
Lineage: Bacteria
Description: partial 16S ribosomal RNA
Rfam family: Bacterial small subunit ribosomal RNA
Source: RNAcentral